AGCCACUGACUAACGCACAUUGUGCUUCUCGUGUCCCCACUGUGCGUGUGACAGCGGCUAA
RNAcentral lists this microRNA precursor (61 nucleotides) under Anolis carolinensis (green anole). RNAcentral's name for it is "Aca-Mir-210_pre stem-loop". It matches the Rfam family "mir-210 microRNA precursor family", at positions 15 to 74 of the family's 96-position model. The record is from RNAcentral. Lineage: Eukaryota; Metazoa; Chordata; Lepidosauria; Squamata; Anolidae.